Molecule: ribosomal RNA, 493 nt
Filed under: uncultured bacterium
Lineage: Bacteria
Description: partial 16S ribosomal RNA
Rfam family: Bacterial small subunit ribosomal RNA
Source: RNAcentral
AUUGAACGCUGGCGGCAUGCUUUACACACGCAAGUCGAACGGUAACAGGUUAAGCUGACGAGUGGCGAACGGGUGAGUAAUGCAUCGGAACGUGCCCGGCCGUGGGGGAUAACACUUCGAAAGAAGUGCUAAUACCGCAUACGAUCUGAGGAUGAAAGCGGGGGACCGUAAGGCCUCGCGCGAUCGGAGCGGCCGAUGUCGGAUUAGGUAGUUGGUGGGGUAAAGGCCUACCAAGCCGACGAUCUGUAGCUGGUCUGAGAGGACGACCAGCCACACUGGGACUGAGACACGGCCCAGACUCCUACGGGAGGCAGCAGUGGGGAAUUUUGGACAAUGGGCGCAAGCCUGAUCCAGCAAUGCCGCGUGCAGGAAGAAGGCCUUCGGGUUGUAAACUGCUUUUGUACGGAGCGAAAAGGCUCUCUCUAAUACAGGGGGCUGAUGACGGUACCGUAAGAAUAAGCACCGGCUAACUACGUGCCAGCAGCCGCCGUAA